Molecule: ribosomal RNA, 468 nt
Filed under: uncultured bacterium
Lineage: Bacteria
Description: partial 16S ribosomal RNA
Rfam family: Bacterial small subunit ribosomal RNA
Source: RNAcentral
GACGAACGCUGGCGGUGUGCUUAACACAUGCAAGUCGAACGGUAAGGCCCUUUCGGGGGUACACGAGUGGCGAACGGGUGAGUAACACGUGAGUAACCUGCCCUCAUCUCUGGGAUAACAGUCGGAAACGGUUGCUAAUACUGGAUAUGAGCUUGCAAGGCAUCUUGUGGGUUGGAAAGAUUUUUUUUGGUUGGGGAUGGACUCGCGGCCUAUCAGCUUGUUGGUGAGGUAGUGGCUCACCAAGGCUUCGACGGGUAGCCGGCCUGAGAGGGCGACCGGCCACAUUGGGACUGAGAUACGGCCCAAACUCCUACGGGAGGCAGCAGUGGGGAAUAUUGCACAAUGGACGGAAGGCUGAUGCAGCAACGCCGCGUGCGGGAUGACGGCCUUCGGGUUGUAAACCGCUUUCAAUUGUGACGAAGCUUUUUUGUGACGGUAGCAGUAGAAGAAGCACCGGCUAACUACGUG